This 1227-nucleotide long non-coding RNA is filed under the name Trifolium pratense (red clover). RNAcentral describes it as "long non-coding RNA (TPRA_LNC001690)". Lineage: Eukaryota; Viridiplantae; Streptophyta; Magnoliopsida; Fabales; Fabaceae. The record is from RNAcentral.
GACUUCGUUUUAAUUUUAAGAGAAGAGAAGAGAAGAGAGAGAAUCACAAUGUAACCCUAGUCCAAUUCACCGUCACACUCAGCUCCUCUCCACCGUCACACUCAGCUCCUCCCCACCGUCACGAACAGGAUUCAACGAAUCAACAUGCCACCGUCACGAAUGAAGGAACUCGCCCAAUCACGAAAGAAAUCGCCCAAUCUCUCACCGCUUGCGAAGAAAUCACACGAAUUUAAUUUUGGUGAAGUCAUUAUCCCUUUUCCCCUUUUCUUUUUCUAUCAAUUCUUGGUAAUUUGAAAAAUCAAUUAUCAAUUCUUCGAACAUGUAUGUUUACCCUAUUUUUUUUGCUGUGUAUUUGUUCAAAUGUUAGGUUUUUGGCAACAGCUUUGGGUGUUUGUAGUUCCAAAAGUACAUCUUGUUUCUUGGGUACGUACGAGUACAAAUUUGUUUGCUUUGUUUGUAGUUUCAAAAAACCAAAAAUUAAGAGAAAAUAAGAUGGCCAUGUUAUAAUAACCUAGCAAAAUUAAAUCUUGUUGAUGAUAUCUUGAAAUCUAAAGAUGAUUGAAGUUGAAGCUUAAGAAUAGAUUGGGAGUUUUUUCUGUUUUUUGAAUAACCUGUUUACAUAAAUGAUGGUUAACUCUUUGUAAAUCUCUUAUUUCUUGAAAAAUUUAUAAUAAACAAUUGGUUUAUUUUUAUUUUUGAUAAAAAAAAAGUCAAAAUACAUCAAGAUGAAAGGAAAACAAAAUUACAAGGAAUACUUCUCUCGAUUAAAGUACAAAACAGAAAAUAACAGAAAAAUUAAUGGUAAUCAGAAGAUAAAACACCCGAUUAUAUCCCAAAUCUAGUGUUACACAACAACUUAUAAGUACUUGCAUAGUUCAAGGUUUGGCGGCUAUGUUGGAAUUUUUAUUAUGUUACCUUCAAUUUACUGUAGCAUUGUGAUUUUAACAUAGGAAAUUUAGUUAAUAUUGUUCAUUGUAGUUCAACAUAUGUGUAUCUAAUAAUUGUUUUACAUUUUCUCUUAACCAAUACUUUCUAUUUACUGUUCUCAGUUUGACACUAAAGACUACGUACUUAAUCUUCCUUUACCAGAGUGUUGGGUGGUAAGGCAAUUUUGUUUCAACACCUUCUUGAAACUUUUACUUAUCAAUAUUUUAUCAAUAUUUUAUGUUCCCGUAGACAAGGUCAAGGAUGAUUGAGUUGGUAUCAAAACGUUUGGCUACAUUAGAG